Molecule: ribosomal RNA, 253 nt
Filed under: uncultured bacterium
Lineage: Bacteria
Description: partial 16S ribosomal RNA
Rfam family: Bacterial small subunit ribosomal RNA
Source: RNAcentral
GACGGGGGAUGCAAGCGUUAUCCGGAAUCACUCGGCGUAAAGCGUCUGUAGGUGGUGAUGCAAGUCACUGGUGCAAAACUCUGGCUCAACCGGAGGAAAGCCAGUGAAACUGCAUGACUAGAGUGUGGGAGAGGUAGAAGGAAUUCCCUGAGUAGCGGUGAAAUGCGUAGAUACAGGGAAGAACACCGGAGGCGGAAGCGUUCUACUGGAACCCAACUGACACUGGGAGACGAAAGCUAGGGGAGCGAAUGGG